RNAcentral lists this ribosomal RNA (1244 nucleotides) under Metaplanococcus flavidus. RNAcentral describes it as "Planomicrobium flavidum partial 16S ribosomal RNA". It matches the Rfam family "Bacterial small subunit ribosomal RNA", at positions 62 to 1163 of the family's 1533-position model. The record is from RNAcentral. Lineage: Bacteria; Bacillati; Bacillota; Bacilli; Caryophanales; Caryophanaceae.
GGGUACGUAGAUCUAUUGAACACCCUUGCGCACUCUGUAAUAAUAAACCGUAUCCUUUAUUUAUCGUCUUCCUGCCUGAGUACACAUGUGCAACCCGCCCUGCAUAUAGGGAUAACUCCUGGAAACCGGUGCUCAUACGCAAGAUUUUGGCUCCACUCCCGAGGCUCCACGGAAAGACAGUUUCUGCUGUCACUGCAGGAUGGGCCCCCGGCGCAAUAACUAGUUGGGGGGGUAACGGCCUCCCCAGGGCACGAUUCCUUACCCAACUGGAAGGGUGAUCGGCCCCCCUGGGACUGAAACCCCGCCCCAACCCCCACCGGAAGGCACCAUUAGGAAUCCUCCCCCAUGGAAGCAAAUCCGAACGAACCACCCCCCCGGGAUUGUGAAAGGUUUCCGAACCUAAAACUCCUUUGAUAAGGAAAAAACCGUGGCGUCUAUCUACGGGCACCUUUAGAGUGCCUCUACUCAAAACCCCGGCGAAAUAUAUGUCCCCACCCCCGCUAAUACAUAUGUGUCGAACGUUUUCCCGAAAUUUUGGGCGUAUAACGCGCGCAUGCGCUCCCUUAAAUCUCAUAUGAAAACCCCCGGCUCACCCCUGGAGGGUCAUUUUAAACUGGGGGACUUUAGUGCACAAAAGAAAAGUGUAAUUCCCCAUGUAUCGCUGAAAUGCGUACAGAUAUGUAGGAACACCCCUGUCGAAAGCGACAUUCUCGUCUCUAACUGACACUCAGGCGCGCAAACGUGUGGAGCUCACACGAUUAUAUACCCCGGUAGUCCCCACCCUAUACAUAAGAGCUCAAUGUUAUGGGGUUUCCCCCCCUUAUUGCUGCACCUCACGCACUAUACACUCUCCCUCGGGGAGUACAACCACCACAGCUCAAACUCUCAAGAGUUUUCGCGGGCCCGCACACACGCUGUAGCAUAUGUUUUAUUUCUCAGCACAGCGCAGAACCUUAUCACGGUCUUUACAUCUCGCUUUAACACCCCUGAAAAAAAGGCUUUUCCGUUUUCGGGACAACACUGACACGUGGUGCACAGGUUUUCCCCCCCCUCUCCUCCUGAGAAAAUUUGGGUUUAAUCCCCCCACAAAGGGCCCCACCCCUUUAGCUUUAUUUUUCCCCCAUUUUCUUUUGGCCCCCUGGAUGGGAAAUUCCCCUUUUAACGCCCCCAAAAAAGGGUGGGAGGGGGGGGGAUGCGUGUUGUCUCCCCUGUAAACAGACUCCGCUAGACCUCUUUUCUUUUUU